AGCUCCGAUAGCGUAUAUUAAAGUUGUUGCAGUUAAAAGCUCGUAGUUGAACUUCUAGUGAUUGACGUUUUGCCGCACGGUUUGAAAUGUUAUCACUAUCCGCUUCGGUUUAUCAAUACGCACUUUGUUGGGCGAUUGUGUAACCAAGCAAUUUACUUUGAAAAAUUAGAGUGUUUCAAGCAGGCGAUUUGCUGGAAUACAUUAGCAUGGAAUAAUAGAACACGACCUCUUAGGCAUUUUAUUGGUAUAUGACUGGAGGUAAUGAUUAACAGGGACAGUUGGGGGCAUUAGUAUUGCAUUGUCAGAGGUGAAAUUCAUUGAUUAGUGCAAGACUAACUUAUGCGAAAGCAUUUGCCAAGGAUGUUUU
RNAcentral lists this ribosomal RNA (367 nucleotides) under uncultured eukaryote. RNAcentral's name for it is "SSU rRNA". It matches the Rfam family "Eukaryotic small subunit ribosomal RNA", at positions 587 to 970 of the family's 1831-position model. The record is from RNAcentral.